CUACACUACAUGCAUGAUGCAAUUACUUGCACUAUGCUCAGUGUGAAAACAGAGGGGCAGUGGAUCCAGGGGAAAGAGCAAUGGACCUUGAGAAACACCAGCUGGUUGGGUGAUACAAGCCCAAGCUCUGCAGCCAAGUCCCAGCUCCAGCAUGGAGCAGCUCUGGGACCUGGGGCAAGUCACCACCCUCUCUGUGCAUCAAUUUCCUUACUUGUAAAACAGCUGCCAAGAACACCAACCACCAAAGUAGCAUGACAGAUGGAUCUCACCAAAGCCUUGAUAUGAUCUGAGGACAAGAAACUCAGGGAAAAUGUGUUGAUCCGUCAUAUAAGAGGCAAAGGUAUCCUCCUGUACUGGUGUUUGUUGGUAAAUGUUGACACCCAUUAUAUGUUAAUAAUCAUGUUUUAGUUUCUCUUUUUUGUUUCAUUUUCUAUGUACCAAAUUGAAUAAUACUCAGAUGAAGUUAGAUUAUAAUUUCUUUUCAGCUCAAUAAAGGUAAGCAAAUAUAUAGCCAGGGCUAUUUUAACUGGAAAAAAAAAGAAACCUACUACUAACAGUGUCUUACAAGAAAGGUGUUUAAUUUUUUAUGUUAUAAAAAACAUGGAGGCACAUUUUAUGUAUGUCAGCAGUCAAAUGGUGACAGGACCUUGGAUAAACAUCUGGGUUCUCUAGGAUCCCACCUAAUGUUUCAAGAAGAUUGUAACUAUAUUCUCCUAUAGCAGCAUCUAAAGAAGAGAAGAUGAAGCUAAUUCUCAUAUCUAUAUUUUCUUAAAUGAAUAAUCUUAACCCAAAACACUGCUAGAUAAAUUCCUUUUGCUCCUCAUUGGCUGGAUUGGGUCAUAUGGUAACCUAUAGCUACAGAGAGGAUGAGAGAGUGAGUAUCUGACACAGUGAUUGGAAUAAACCUAACCAUGAUCUAGUGCUGGAGAGGUGGCACUUAGACAGAGUGAUGAUGCCUAAACUUCAGAAGUACAGUUAUCUGGCUCCUCUAAGACCUGGACUAACUGUACAUCAUUGACAAGCCAAACAUCUGAUCAAGAAUCACAUUGGAAGACUUCUCAUCAGUGUUGUCCUUGUAAACAAACGACCCCUAUCUACCUUUA
This is a non-coding RNA of Macaca mulatta (Rhesus monkey), 1103 nucleotides long. The record is from RefSeq and is a predicted model, not a curated record. Lineage: Eukaryota; Metazoa; Chordata; Mammalia; Primates; Cercopithecidae.